Molecule: long non-coding RNA, 1395 nt
Filed under: Ricinus communis (castor bean)
Lineage: Eukaryota; Viridiplantae; Streptophyta; Magnoliopsida; Malpighiales; Euphorbiaceae
Description: long non-coding RNA (RCOM_LNC000212)
Source: RNAcentral
AAUUUUCCAAUAUAUAAUUUUACUUAUAUAAAUAUGCAUUUGGAAAAAUUUGAAUAACCAAAAUAUAAUCAUUUUAAAUUAAACCCAAUAAUAAUGAGGCUAAAAUUAACUUAAAUAAAAACUCAUUAUUAAAUAUAUAAAAAUUCCGGGUGUUACAUUCUCCCCCCCUUAAAAAAAAAUUCGACCUCGAAUUUUAAAAGAAAAUGGGCUACACUCUAAGACUGAAACUAAUUAGGAAUCUCUCAUCUCCAACUCGGCUUUUCGGAAACUUUCCUCGGCAGAAACUAAACUAAACCACAAGACUCAUCAAUAAAAUCCUUAAAUAAAACUGGCGAACCUGAAAAUCCGCUAUCCUCAUUUACUACUCCUCGGAAACCAAAUCUUCACUUGCUUCCACACACUAAGGGUCCAACACGAGCAAAGAUCGAAAAUACACUUCCUCAGCUCAGACUUACAAACAACUGGAUUUAACCUCAAAAAACAUUACUAAUACUUGGCGGCAAGUCCAACUUACAUGCCACCUCACCAACCUGCCGACAAAACCAAGGGUUUCCACACAAGAAGGGCCAAUUCUGAUCCUGCCAAAAAUCCACUCACCAAAUUUCCUUCCUAAUGACGCGCCCCUUGCACGUACAGAAAAAAAAAUCCUUAACAUCUACAUCACAUCAUACUCGACAUAACAUCCAUCUGAUCGCAUCAACCGACACAACCAUGCCAUCCUGACACAAGAUUCCUCCUUGACUGAAAUCCAAAAGCCUCCCUUAUAAUCUAACAUGGGGCCUACAGCUCCACAGACUUACUCUCUCAGCAACUCAACUCGUCAUCCAGAGACUUCUCAAGCUAACACUAUUUACUUUGAAAAAUUUACUUAUUUAUUUACUUUAUAAUCAUCACUGAUAAAGCUUUAUCAUCUUGGAAAAACACUUUUGUAAAAUCAUAAAAUCUCCAGCCAUUUUUCUUUAUAUAAAAUUCUACAAUAUCGCGCACCAGGGUGAUGAUGCCCCUAUCACCAAGGGUUGCAAUGCAGAAUGUAUGAUGCAUGUCCUAAAAUGAAUUUAUAUAUGCCUAACAGUGAAAUGCCAUAUGCAUUCUUACGGGACUGGGCGCAAUAUUGUAUUUUAAAACACUUGUUCUACUUAAAAAAAUAAAUAAUGUUCGCUUAAGUUUCUCUGGAUUAUGAGCGUCCGAAAACACUCCUGCCACCUUUCUUAAGCUUCUUACAACCACAAAACUCAACCAUAACAGCCGACAUCCGCUCGACUUCCCAGGCACUACUUUCGGCGCUACUCAAAAAGACGAUGCCUGAUGCGAUGACGAGGCGGUCCAUGACACGACUGCAACCACGCUCUAUACUAAAACUGACUGCGGUGCCCACUAUCUAAACCACAAUCAAAG